RNAcentral lists this ribosomal RNA (398 nucleotides) under uncultured bacterium. RNAcentral's name for it is "partial 16S ribosomal RNA". It matches the Rfam family "Bacterial small subunit ribosomal RNA", at positions 523 to 918 of the family's 1533-position model. The record is from RNAcentral.
AUACGUAGGGUGCGAGCGUUGUCCGGAAUUACUGGGCGUAAAGAGCUCGUAGGUGGUUUGUCGCGUCGUAUGUGAAAUUCCGGGGCUUAACUCCGGGCGUGCAGGCGAUACGGGCAUAACUUGAGUACUGUAGGGGAGACUGGAAUUCAUGGUGUAGCGGUGAAAUGCGCAGAUAUCAGGAGGAACCCCGGUGGCGAAGGCGGGUCUCUGGGCAGUAACUGACGCUGAGGAGCGAAAGCAUGGGUAGCGAACAGGAUUAGAUACCCUGGUAGUCCAUGCCGUAAACGGUGGGCGCUAGGUGUAGGGGUCUUCCACGACUUCUGUGCCGUAGCUAACGCAUUAAGCGCCCCGCCUGGGGAGUACGGCCGCAAGGCUAAAACUCAAAGGAAUUGACGGGG